GGCCGGUUAGCUCAGUCGGUUGGAGCGUGAUGCUGUUAACACCAAGGUUGCAGGUUCGAUCCCCGUUCGGUCC
This 73-nucleotide transfer RNA is filed under the name Apaloderma vittatum (bar-tailed trogon). It matches the Rfam family "tRNA". Rfam says of the family: Transfer RNA (tRNA) molecules are approximately 80 nucleotides in length. Their secondary structure includes four short double-helical elements and three loops (D, anti-codon, and T loops). Lineage: Eukaryota; Metazoa; Chordata; Aves; Trogoniformes; Trogonidae. The record is from Rfam by way of RNAcentral.